RNAcentral lists this transfer RNA (72 nucleotides) under Camelus bactrianus (Bactrian camel). It matches the Rfam family "tRNA". Rfam says of the family: Transfer RNA (tRNA) molecules are approximately 80 nucleotides in length. Lineage: Eukaryota; Metazoa; Chordata; Mammalia; Artiodactyla; Camelidae. The record is from Rfam by way of RNAcentral. RNAcentral also lists the same sequence under 2 other names.
GGGUAUAGAGCUCAGUGGUAGAGCGAGUGCCUGGCAUGUAUGAGGUACUGGGUCCAAUCUCCAGUACCUCCA